GGAUUGUGGCUCAGUGGUGGAGCGCUCGCCUAUCACAUGCGAGGCCUUGGGUUCGAUCUUCAUCACCA
Molecule: transfer RNA, 68 nt
Filed under: Marmota monax (woodchuck)
Lineage: Eukaryota; Metazoa; Chordata; Mammalia; Rodentia; Sciuridae
Description: tRNA.Asp
Source: RNAcentral